RNAcentral lists this ribosomal RNA (250 nucleotides) under uncultured bacterium. Its description in RNAcentral is "partial 16S ribosomal RNA". It matches the Rfam family "Bacterial small subunit ribosomal RNA", at positions 524 to 773 of the family's 1533-position model. The record is from RNAcentral.
UACGUAGGGCGCGAGCGUUGUCCGGAAUUAUUGGGCGUAAAGGGCUUGUAGGCGGUUUGUCGCGUCUGCCGUGAAAUUCCCUGGCUUAACUGGGGGCGUGCGGUGGGUACGGGCAGGCUUGAGUGCAGAAGAGGAGAGUGGAAUUCCAUGUGUAGCGGUGAAAUGCGUAGAUAUAUGGAGGAACACCAGUGGCGAAGGCGGAUUACUGGACGACAACUGACGGUGAGGCUCGAAAGCGUGGGGAGCAAAC